UUUUCAAAGUGAUAUGUACAUGUUAAGAAUGGGAAAUAGGCAGUACUACUAAAGAGAAGAGGGUUUUGGGAGAAGAGAAGCAUCUCCCAAAUUUUUAGGACUUUUCAGCAUACUCGCUUCAUUUCCUUUGCUCUCUCGUUUGCAGAGUUCUGGAAUGGGCGGAGGAAGAUGGCUGGCGUGCUACCCAAAAUUACUUGUGCAGAAAUUUCUGACAAUUCCGGUGCAGUCAUCGAAUGGAGUUUUAUGGGGGAAACUUUCUCAGUUUCACCGAGCAUUGAUCCAUUCUCCAACGGCCUCGCGUUGCUACAGUUAUAUGGGAAAACGCGCUGAUUUUGCUCCUCAUGAGCUGCUAUGGUCGAAGCGUUUUCUACACGCCACAGCACCAUAUUGUUCAAUGGAGCGUGAUUAUUACGAGAUUCUUGGCAUUUCUAAGGAUGCCAGUCGGGAUGAGAUUAAGAAGGCUUUUCAUGCUCUUGCUAAGAAGUACCAUCCUGAUUCCAAUAAGAACAAUCCUUCUGCAAAGAGAAAAUUUCAAGAGAUAAGGGAUGCUUAUGAGACUUUGCAAGAUCCUGAAAAGAAAUCCCAAUAUGAUAGGAUGAGAAUGAGUUCAGGCAGGGCUGAGAAUGCAGAAUAUCCUAGUAGGGAGUGGGAUCAAUUUAGAGAUGCUCAUAGAGCUAAGUUCUCUGAUUCAUUCCACAAAAUUUUUUCCGAGAUUUUUGAAAAUGAAAGUGAAAAUCUGGCUGCUGAUAUUCAGGUGGAACUUUCACUUACAUUUUCUGAAGCUGCUAAAGGAUGCACAAAACAGUUGUCUUUUGAAGCAGAUGUGCCAUGUGAUUCAUGCGAUGGCCGUGGCCACCGAUUAGAUGCUGCAACAAAAAUAUGUCCGACUUGCCAAGGCAUUGGAAGAGUAACAAUACCACCAUUUAUCACAACAUGCAGUACCUGUAAAGGAUUUGGACGAAUCAUUAAGGAAUACUGCGUGGCAUGCAAAGGAUCAGGGGUGUGUGAAGGAGUCAGGGAUGUUAAAGUAACUAUACCAGCAGGUGUGGACUCUGGGGAUACCAUCCGUGUGCCUGAAGCUGGUAAUGCUGGUAGAUGGGGAAGGUCUCCAGGCAACCUUUUUAUAAAACUAAAGGUUGCAGAAGAUCCUAUAUUUUCUAGACGAGGUGCUGAUAUUUAUGUGGAUUCUCAUAUUAGCUUCACACAAGCCAUUCUUGGUGGUAAUAUUGAGGUACCUACACUUGCUGGGAAGAUACAACUGCAAAUACCUAAGGGGGUUCAACAUGGGAAACUAGUUUUGCUUAGAGGCAAAGGAUUGCCAAAAAAUGGUUUUCUGGUGGACCAUGCAGAUCAGUAUGUGCGCUUCUGCAUAAAUUUUCCUUCUUCCUCAGAAUAUUUACCAUUUGUUCUGCAAAAGAAAUGGCGACCCCUGUUUAGCUUUAUUUGUGUUUGUGCCGUCUUCACUUCAGAACGGUUACCGAAAGGCAACGUGCUAUACUAGAAGAAUUUGAGGAGGAAAUAAUGGAAGAGAAUAGCACAUCUGCAGAAGACAAUUGCUGAACUUCUCAAGCCAAGCUCUUGAGGUUGCUUCAGCUUCUGAUUCAGGCAGGGAACAUUCUUUAUAUCCAUUAUGUUUGGUUCCCACUUGUAGCUAGAGAUGAUAUAACUCUACUGGAAAUCAACUAAGCAACUGCAAUGAAUGUCUCGUCAUAAUUUAUGCGAAAUCUCAGUAACUCCCUAGAUGACCAAUAUGGCUUUGUGUCUCUCUUAUUUCCACCCAACAAUCUUCAGUUUCUUUGGAAUUUUAACAAUUUUCUUUGUAUCAUUCCUGUUGGCACCUUCAUCUCUUCUAAGGGAGCUGUGAUUUGUUAUUACUAGUUUUAGGAUCUUAAGAAGUUCUGUUUGUACUUGUUUUUGGACUGUUCAACUUCUCCUGCUCCCUCACCCACAAUAACUGCUGAUGAAGCAGUUUUAGGCAUAGAGCUUGCUGUGCACGCCUUUAAUACAUUUCACUCUUCUUCUGAUUCUUUCUAUCCAGAUUGUUUAGUUGGAUGCUACAAAGAGGGUGUUUGGGUGAACUUAUUUGAAACUCUUAGAAGCUCAUACAUAUUAUAAAUUAUUGUUAGAUGUUAUUUUAACUUCCAAAAUAUUUGGCUAAAUAAGAUUGUGGAGCUUAUAAGAUGUUAGCAACGACAAUUUUGUAAUUAAUAUGAUCAAAAUUGAAGGAGCUUGUUAAAAUCUUAAAAUUAAGUUAUGAACUUUUUAUUAUUUUUUUUAAAGGUGUUUAUAAGCUCUUAAAAUCCAUUUCUUGGAUUUCAUUUUCUAAAAAUUUUACCAUACUUUUCAAUAUCUUAUAAGCUCACCAAACAUCCUCUAAAUGUUAUUUGCAAGCUUACUGGUAG
Sesamum indicum (sesame) is the source of this 2402-nucleotide non-coding RNA. Lineage: Eukaryota; Viridiplantae; Streptophyta; Magnoliopsida; Lamiales; Pedaliaceae. The record is from RefSeq and is a predicted model, not a curated record.